ACAGAAAAACUCUUGAACAGAGACAACUUCCCCUGUUGAGUUCUUCUGGGGCAGAAUCCCUCACCUCAGGCCAGCCAACCCCAAAGCAGAAGUCCAAGGAAGACCUCUGAUGGCCUCUAUGGAGGAAGAAGAAAUAGAUCGUUCCUAGAAAUUUUGAGUGACAGAGGUAUCAUCACUCUUAUUCCACUUUCAAGUCUAGCCAUUCAUCUUGAACCUCAGAUCUCAUCAGGAAAAUUACAACGAUGAGAGCUCUUUUACAGAGAGGGUGAAAAAUGCUAGCAACAAAAUCAUGUGAGAUGUCAUGAAUAGCAGGUUUGAAAAUGCCCGGAAGAUGUUCCUCUUUCUCUUUUUUUCCUCCCGGAUCCCAGCCUGAAUAAACACCUGAUGUUAUCCCGGAGGGAAAAGCAGCCCUUUGGUCUUUUAUCUUGGUCGUGAAGGACCCCCCAUCCCUCCACUCAACAGAGCU
Non-coding RNA from Cyanistes caeruleus (blue tit), 466 nucleotides. The record is from RefSeq and is a predicted model, not a curated record. Lineage: Eukaryota; Metazoa; Chordata; Aves; Passeriformes; Paridae.